CUUGCUUUCUUUGCUGGCGACCGGCGCACGGGUGAGUAACACGUAUCCAACCUGCCGAUAACUCGGGGAUAGCCUUUCGAAAGAAAGAUUAAUAUCCGAUAGUAUAUUAAAACCGCAUGGUUUUACUAUUAAAGAAUUUCGGUUAUCGAUGGGGAUGCGUUCCAUUAGUUUGUUGGCGGGGUAACGGCCCACCAAGACUACGAUGGAUAGGGGUUCUGAGAGGAAGGUCCCCCACAUUGGAACUGAGACACGGUCCAA
This 258-nucleotide ribosomal RNA is filed under the name uncultured bacterium. RNAcentral describes it as "partial 16S ribosomal RNA". It matches the Rfam family "Bacterial small subunit ribosomal RNA", at positions 75 to 334 of the family's 1533-position model. The record is from RNAcentral.